CAGAAAGGUGACUUCUACUUACUUUGUAGUACCAUAAGUAAGGCAAAUCAAAGUAGAUUGGAAAAAUAAAUGAUAUAGUAAUCUUAAGAAGAAAAUUAAGAGUAAAUUCUAGAAAAAAUUUACUUAGAAAAACUAGAUAUUGAUACCCGGAGAGGGCCGGUUAUGAACCAGGGUCGAAAUCAGACCCUGAGGCACAAAACCGAG
Molecule: long non-coding RNA, 204 nt
Filed under: Physcomitrium patens
Lineage: Eukaryota; Viridiplantae; Streptophyta; Bryopsida; Funariales; Funariaceae
Description: long non-coding RNA (PPAT_LNC006027)
Source: RNAcentral